Molecule: transfer RNA, 64 nt
Filed under: Glycera cf. tridactyla FS19
Lineage: Eukaryota; Metazoa; Annelida; Polychaeta; Phyllodocida; Glyceridae
Description: tRNA-Leu
Source: RNAcentral
GACAGGUUGGCAGACUAGUGCAAUUGAUUUAGGAUCAAAACAUGUAAUUAUAUUACACCUGUCU